UUCAGGAUGGCCGAGUGGUAAUGGCAUCGGGCUUCUAAUCCGGUUCUCUGUUGUGUCCGCAGGUUCAAUUCCUGCUCCUGAAU
Molecule: non-coding RNA, 83 nt
Organism: Trichonephila clavipes
Lineage: Eukaryota; Metazoa; Arthropoda; Arachnida; Araneae; Nephilidae
Source: the annotation of a GenBank genome assembly